Drosophila obscura is the source of this 842-nucleotide long non-coding RNA. RefSeq lists it as uncharacterized. The transcript is spliced from 5 exons. The record is from RefSeq and is a predicted model, not a curated record. NCBI's taxonomy places the organism in Eukaryota, Metazoa, Arthropoda, Insecta, Diptera, Drosophilidae.
AUGCUUUGUGCGUUGAUUUUUUUCCACUUCUGUGCUAGAUCAAGUUGCUGGAAGAAGCAUUUGAAAUUGUUUUGCGAUUAUUUCAUUAAAAAGUGAGAAAUAACACUUCAAAUUAAUAAAUUAAACGCCAUACAACAGACUCCGAACCUUGAAAAGUUAGCGUCGUGCAGUGAAAUAAAAGUGGAACAAAAAUUAUUAGAAAAAGAAUUAGAAGAAACUGGAAUACAGAUAGAACAGGAAGAAUUAGUUUAUGAGGAAAUUCAACCAAAUAAAUCGUCAUUAAAUAUGUACUUUCAGAAAAUCUACAGCAGGAGAAUGCCGUUGUUCGUGAUCAAUUAAACGUCCUUGAAAAAAAUUUAGCUGACCAAACAGUUUUAAUAAAACAGCUUACAAAGGAGAAGGGCGAUAUGAAUUCUGUUCGGGACCAGUUCCCGAUUGAAACGGACGAGCAGCUGAUGAAAAUGGAGGAGAAUAUAAAAAUGAAUAGAGACAUUUAUAUUUCAACAAUCAAAUCCAUAUUACAGCCAGCCGAAGUGCUUGUCAACUUAAAAUUUAUUUUAAGUCAGGAAAUUGUACUGGCAUAUAAUGUGGAUGGAGUACAAGGGAAGAAAGUCCUCAGGAGCCACUCGGAGUUUUAUGGAGCUUUCCUAGAAUGUAUUCCGCCUGGAGACGAAGCACCAGAAAUGCUGAUGCGCAAAGCGAUGCAGAGGGUGAAAAAGAGAGUUUUCAAGCAAAGGUGUACCAAACCCAAAAAUGAAACUGUUUAGGCUAGGCUAGAUUUUAAUAUAUAUUUUAAGUUUGAAUUUUGAAAGAAUUUUGAAUUAAACAUUCAUAUAACACAA